UACCAGCUCUCCGAGUGGUGUGGAUGUUUAUUGGGCCUAAAGCAUCCGUAGCUGGCUGGGCAAGUCCCCUGUUAAAUCCACCGAUUUAAUCGUUGGUGUGCGGGGGAUACUGUUCGGCUAGGGGACGGGAGAGGCCGACGGUAUUUUCGGGGUAGGGGUGAAAUCCUAUAAUCCCGGGAAGACCACCAGUGGCGAAGGCUGUCGGCUAGAACGCGCCCGACGGUGAGGGAUGAAAGCUGGGGGAGCGAACCGGAUUAGAUACCCGGGUAGUCCCAGCUGUAAACGAUGCAGGCUAGGUGUUUGGGCGGCCACGUGCCGCUCUAGUGCCGCAGGGAAGUCGUUAAGCCUGCCGCCUGGGGAGUACGGCCGCAAGGCUGAAACUUAAAGGAAUUGGCGGGGAGCACCACAAGGGGUGAAGCUUGCGGUUU
RNAcentral lists this ribosomal RNA (428 nucleotides) under uncultured archaeon. RNAcentral describes it as "bacterial SSU rRNA". It matches the Rfam family "Archaeal small subunit ribosomal RNA", at positions 474 to 903 of the family's 1478-position model. The record is from RNAcentral.